This 481-nucleotide ribosomal RNA is filed under the name uncultured bacterium. RNAcentral describes it as "partial 16S ribosomal RNA". It matches the Rfam family "Bacterial small subunit ribosomal RNA", at positions 28 to 507 of the family's 1533-position model. The record is from RNAcentral.
GAUGAACGCUGGCGGCGUGCUUAACACAUGCAAGUCGAACGAAGCACUUUAUUUGAUUUCCUUCGGGACUGAUUAUUGUGUGACUGAGUGGCGGAGGGGUGAGUAACGCGUGGGUAACCUGGAUUGUACAGGGGGAUAACAGUUGGAAACGGCUGCUAAUAGCGCAUAAGCGCACAGCAUCGCAUGAUGCAGUGUGAAAAAGUCCGGUGGUAGAAGAUGGACCCGCGUUGGAUUAGCUAGUUGGUGAGGUAACGGCCCACCAAGGCGACGAUCCAUAGCCGACGUGAGAGGGUGACCGGCCACAUUGGGACUUAGACACGGCCCAAACUCCUACGGGAGGCAGCAGUGGGGAAUAUUGCACAAUGGGCGAAAGCCUGAUGCAGCGACGCCGCGUGAGCGAAGAAGUAUUUCGGUAUGUAAAGCUCUAUCAGCAGGGAAGAUAAUGACGGUACCUGACUAAUAAGCACCGGCUAAAUACGUG